GUUGAACGCUGGCGGAAUGCUUUACACAUGCAAGUCGAACGGCAGCACGGGGGCAACCCUGGUGGCGAGUGGCGAACGGGUGAGUAAUACAUCGGAACGUGCCCAGUCGUGGGGGAUAACGUAGCGAAAGCUACGCUAAUACCGCAUACGAUCUACGGAUGAAAGCGGGGGAUCGCAAGACCUCGCGCGAUUGGAGCGGCCGAUGGCAGAUUAGGUAGUUGGUGGGGUAAAGGCUCACCAAGCCUUCGAUCUGUAGCUGGUCUGAGAGGACGACCAGCCACACUGGGACUGAGACACGGCCCAGACUCCUACGGGAGGCAGCAGUGGGGAAUUCUGGACAAUGGGCGAAAGCCUGAUCCAGCCAUUCCGCGUGCAGGAUGAAGGCCCUCGGGUUGUAAACUGCUUUUGUACGGAACGAAACGGCCUUUUCUAAUACAGAGGGCUAAUGACGGUACCGUAAGAAUAAGCACCGGCUAACUACGUGCCAGCAGCCGCGGUAAAGUCG
RNAcentral lists this ribosomal RNA (505 nucleotides) under uncultured bacterium. RNAcentral's name for it is "bacterial SSU rRNA". It matches the Rfam family "Bacterial small subunit ribosomal RNA", at positions 28 to 527 of the family's 1533-position model. The record is from RNAcentral.